RNAcentral lists this ribosomal RNA (507 nucleotides) under uncultured bacterium. Its description in RNAcentral is "bacterial SSU rRNA". It matches the Rfam family "Bacterial small subunit ribosomal RNA", at positions 30 to 526 of the family's 1533-position model. The record is from RNAcentral.
AUUGAACGCUGGCGGCAGGCCUAACACAUGCAAGUCGAGCGGAAACGAUCCUAGCUUGCUAGGAGGCGUCGAGCGGCGGACGGGUGAGUAAUGCAUAGGAAUCUGCCCGGUAGUGGGGGAUAACGUGGGGAAACUCACGCUAAUACCGCAUACGCCCUACGGGGGAAAGCAGGGGAUCUUCGGACCUUGCGCUAUCGGAUGAGCCUAUGUCGGAUUAGCUUGUUGGUGAGGUAAUGGCUCACCAAGGCGACGAUCCGUAGCUGGUCUGAGAGGAUGAUCAGCCACACUGGGACUGAGACACGGCCCAGACUCCUACGGGAGGCAGCAGUGGGGAAUAUUGGACAAUGGGGGAAACCCUGAUCCAGCCAUGCCGCGUGUGUGAAGAAGGCUUUCGGGUUGUAAAGCACUUUCAGCGAGGAAGAAGGCCUGACGGUUAAUACCUGUCAGGAAGGACAUCACUCGCAGAAGAAGCACCGGCUAACUCCGUGCCAGCCGCCGCCGUAACAC